AGCAGCGUGGCUCAGUGGAAGAGAGCCCGGGCUUCGGAGUCAGGGGUCACGGGUUCGACUCCCGCCUCUGCCA
Ornithorhynchus anatinus (platypus) is the source of this 73-nucleotide non-coding RNA. Lineage: Eukaryota; Metazoa; Chordata; Mammalia; Monotremata; Ornithorhynchidae. The record is from Rfam.